Non-coding RNA from Phalacrocorax carbo (great cormorant), 11416 nucleotides. NCBI's taxonomy places the organism in Eukaryota, Metazoa, Chordata, Aves, Suliformes, Phalacrocoracidae. The record is from RefSeq and is a predicted model, not a curated record.
UCAAACUGGGCAUCCAGUGCAGCCUGCAGGCUGUCAGUCAGAACUCUGCAAUAAGGCACCAUGAAAAUUGUAAAGAGAAACAUACAAUUUGCUGGCAGGAAAGUAAGCACCAGGUAGACAUUUCAGGGUCUUCCUGGAAUUAAGGCUGCAUGGAUUGUGAAGGAAAAUGUGGGGGGUUGAUUUAUGCAUUUGAAAAUAAGAGAUAUUAGGUUCAGGUUUCAACCUAUUUCCUGACUCAGCUUUGCUGUGAGAAUGAUCAGGGAGCAAUAGCUUCCUUCUAAUUAGCACCUGCCUACUUACUCCCAUACUAACAAACCUCCAGGGUGGCAAUGGUUUGCCUUAAGAAGAAUGGCAAUGCUGAGACAGAGUGUGUGUAGAAAAUGAGCUCUGGGCUGACCUCAUGCUGCCAGAUGGCCUCUGCCUCAAUAGGAAAGGGGCUCUCUCUUGAACUUAAGGCACUGGAGGUCAGUUAGACUGCAGCAGUGUAACACUCCCAUGCAGCAACCCAGAGGUGUUUACCUGAUGAAAUUCUGUGUUGAACCAAGCUUCCAAAGUUUAGGUGUGGUUUGACAGCUCUAUUACAGGUAGUGUUAUCCAUCCUCCAAGCUACUUUACUGCAUGUAAGCCGGGCUAUUAAAGCAGAAUACACAAUGGCAAGAAAACCCCAGCGUCUUGUCUGGAUUGGUUGGAUCUCUCCUGUUCUUUCCCUGGGGCUCACACAAAGGCACAGCUCAUGGUCUAGCAUACUCUUGAGGACCUUUUGCUUAUAUUUCAACCUUGGCUAUCAAAAAAAUGAGGUCCUCUUGUUUUUCCAGUGCUUGUCUUAACAUUCUUACAAAUCUUACUCAUCCAGGAUAUGUCCUUGAUCAUUUGUGACUGGGAUAGAAGAGCAGGAGGCCAGUUUGUGGGGCACCACCAGCCUUCAGAACAAACAGUGCAAAUGACUACACUGACAUGAUGUCAUGGCACUGCAGCUGCACUUCAAAAGAAUUUUAACAGCUUGGGUUGUCACAAGGACGCUCUGCUCAAGUUUGUCAGGGACGCCUUCCAGACAUUAUGGCCUUUGUUCAAAAAAAGAUUCAAAUCAAAAGAUUUGUGCAUGGACCUGAGGGAGUUCACGAAUAUCAUAGGAAAAACUAACACGUGUGGAGUAACUUCUCCUUUGCCAAAGAGGAAAUUCCACUGAAAUUGGAUUCCUGUGCUGUAUGCGGGCUGUGGCAUUAUUGAAAGUUAUUUCUUCUAGAAUGUUUCUAGACUUUGUUCCUCUAGCGUCGUCCAAAUCAGACAUGGUUAACAUGAGGCCAGUAAGUUUAGGGAUGGAUUGUCCUUGUAUUUAGCAGAUCAUAGAAGUUAUGUUUAAUGAGAACUGUGUGGUGUCCAAUCAAGGAUUUUGGUCUGGUGGCAACAACAAUGGGGCUGAGAGACAAAAACUCUCCACUCAGCCAAAUGAAGUCAUGAGAAUUUGAUCAAGUUAACACUGACUUUCAGUGUCUGAGUACAUGAUGUUGACAGAAUGGCCAUAACACAUUGAAGCUGCCUGAUAAUCAAGCCAGGGCUGAUCCAAUUUACAAAGCUCAGGUGGAGCUAAAGGAGCAAUGAAGACAGGCAGCCGCGCUCCACUCCAGCCCCAAGUCAACUUCUCAUCCUCGAUUAAUGCUUGCAUGGUGACUGGAAGGUAUGAAGCAUAAGCAGUUGCCUGGUCCUGCUCUUUUUUUCCCUUACCCUCCCAUUAGUGCUACUCACUACAAUGCUUCUGUUCUCAGGGAUGUGUAAUGUGGCAGUGUGGUCUGUUCCUUCCACUUAUGCUGCAGUUGUAUUUGGUCAUGAAAACUCAGGGAUUUUUUUCUUCUGGGUAAUAUACUUAUGAAAUAUUUCAGCCAAUUAAGAGAUCUCUCUUUGGAGAAGUCCUUGCCAUGGAUCUGCCAUCUGACUUGCGUAACCCCAAGGCCAUGUUGGGAAUCUCUUCUCCCCACUCCGUUAGCCCUUCACCCAGCAACUGUCACCAGCUGUGUUUUUUGCCCCUCUAGGUACUCCAGCCCUGUGCACUGCAGUGAGCUUUUACCUCAGGGAAAUUCCUGGUAUGACCCAACCUUGCUUGCCAGAAGUAUCAACCUAAAUUUUAACUGGAAAUUGAUUAAGAAGAUUUUAUUAGGCCCUGCAAUUUAUAUGGCAGAAUUCUGGAGACGGCAGUGACAGUUUCACAAAUGCCAAGUAUUCUACAGCAUCUGAGUGCGUACAGACUUGUGAAUAUUAUAGCUAUCUUUACAACUUCUUUCAUUCUUUGUAGGGAUUUCACUGGAGGUUUUUGUCUAUAAGCAUUAGACAGGAAUGGACUCCUGACUCAGUAGUAGAGGAAUGGUACAUGAAUACUUUACACAAAUAAGGUGGGAAAGGACUGUGGUCUGUAUGUGUGCUUUUAAGACUCAGUUCACUAAAGUUGGUAUGAGGUGCCUGUGCCUUUGGAGAUGUUUAGUUAAGGGUGGACAAAUGACAGUGCUAUUACUAUUUCACGUAUUUUUGCUGGUCGGCUUCCAGACAUCUGGAUUUAGCACCCUAUUAAAGGCCAAUGAAAGCAAAGCUAGUUUGCCAACCUUAUGCCUUUUCAGUCUUCCAUCUCAUGAAUGUAAAGGGAAUUGGGGCUAGUGGGCAUAUCCAUGGACUAUGUGUCUUCAGGCGAGAUGACUAUUCCAGGAUAUACUACUACAUCAAUCCUGACCAAUUGCUUUCCGUAACAGUGGUAGUCCAGGAAUAUUUUCUUUGCUUAAAAGAAAAACAAAAUAAACAAUCCCGUUAUACUACACACUUAAAAGAAGGCAUGGUAUAUUAAUUUACAUAAUACUGGCAGCACCAUUCCAAUAUCAUAUUCUUCUACAGAAUGCUGUUCCAGCAUGCUAUACUAGCCUGUUGAUGAUAGUUCUCCACAUCUGUACUUUAUUAAAAAUACCAUCCUUUCAUCCUACAGAUAGUGGUGUCUUUUUCACCAACUGCUAUUUUACAACAUCAAAGCUGAAGAGAAAUAUUGAAAACACAUUUGCUGUCUUUAUUGUUUUUCUCAUGUGAUUUUUGUCAUAUAUCUUCAUCAAGGUCAGUAAGAAACAUGCAGCUUGGUUGGACAGAAAGGAAGCUUUAAAUAAAAGCCAGAGAAGAAAAGAUGACAUGAGAGACUAGAGGCCAAAGAAAAGUUCAAUUUGGUGCGAGUAAGGAUUUUUAGAUUAUUUACAUGAACAAAAUAUAAUGGUAAAAAUUCUGGUAGUUGGAAUGUCCAUGUUUUAUCAUCUAAUACACUCUUCAAAGCACCCCACACUGAAUACAGCAUUUCAGAUUAACUUAUUCUAUUAAUAACUUCUGGUGGGCACUUUGAUAGUCAGACUGGGUUAACCAGAUUUUCUAGGAAGGUGUUGGAAUGUAUUUGCAUAGCUCUAGCUUUAUCACCUUGUCCUGUUCCUUCUGAAGAAACACACCAGCUGACUUGAAUGGAAUCAAAAUUAGGUCUUUAAUUCAGUAACAUCCAUUAUUUGUUUAAGAUAUCUGUUAGCUGAACAAAAGGAGAAAUGUUCCUUUCAGAUGCAAUGUAGCCCCUUCCCCAAGUUCUUCACCUGCACGUUGUUGGCAAGGGAAUUGAUUGUUUCCACCUGCUCAUCAUUCUGUGGAAUCACAUGAAACACCUUCUGCCUAAAAGGGGAGAAAAAGUUUGCAUUUGAAACAGGUAAGUCAAUUGAGAGGCUUUUGCUUAUGCGGAAGAAAUUAUGCAAAUAUAUAACUUGAUGUCUGUUCCUACUCAUCGAGGCAAGAUCCUGCAGGUGAGCAGAAACAGCUGCAGUACCUAUAAGAACCAAGAGUGCCCACAUUUUUGUUUAAAGGAAAACCUCCAGGUUUUCAGUUCUUCUAUGCUGCUUUUAUAACAAGUUUUAUCAUGCUUUUUAUGAAUUAUAUACCAGAACAACUCACUGAUCAACUGAUAGAUUAUUCCCUUGGCCUUGUUUUGUUUGCAUACUAUUUAUAAUGUGUGUUCUGCUCCACACCUGUGAAAACGUGUGAAAGUCUCAAGGGUGUCUAGCUAAAGAAUCUUGCAACUUGAGCUGGAUAAAUUCUUGGUAGGAGAAAGUGAAUUUAAUUUACUUUGUUCUUUUCUGUUUUAUGCGAAUUUUGACUAAGUUGGGGUUUUUUUGCAAUAAUUUGGUUGCUGGAUUACAAACUUUAUAAUACUUUAUUGUUAUUUUAUGUAAUGGUAGAUGUCUCAGGUGUUGUUGCAAUGUGACUGGUCUUAAUCACACAGCAUUGUCCCUCUUCCUGAAAAAUAGGGGGCUGACUCUGACAAAGGAAGAGGAAGCACAGUUGGGAUGUACCAAUUAUCUUUUUUUUUUUUUUUCCCCAGCAGAGGAGAAAAGUACUGAAUUUGUUCUUUGCUCAGUCACUUUGCUAAAUCUUAUAAGUCAGGUGUCUGCAGAACCGAGAGUGCAGAAAUUUCUAGUUGCAGUAGAGUUGUACAUACACUCCCCAUAAUGCAUUCAUUGAUUCUUGCAUAUUCUCUAAUUUAAUCAUGUAAGGGUCAGAGGUAAAUAUCUUUUAAGUUAAGCACUAUUGUGGGCACUACAUGUAGGCCAAGAAGGUCAAUGAAAUAUUGCCAUACAAAAGCAUUUAUUGCUUUACCUUUCACGUUGUGCUUGAACUAUCUGAGAAACAAUACGUUUGCAUCACUGCACUUGCGUCUGUUUAGUUUUCAUUAACGAGUACUUGGCAUUAAAUGUCAUGUUAAUUGUCAGUUGGCUCUGUGUCCUGAUGUGACUGAUGUUUUCGACAGGGAACCUCGAAAUGAAUCAGUAUAUCAAUAUUUAAAGAUGGAAUUUAUGAGCUCAGUUCUGCCUUCUGUUUUAUUGACAAAUUUGAAUUGUCAGUGACCAUUCUAAGAAGGAAUGUGGCACCACACUCUGCACCUUAUUAUUUGUGAGGUUCACUGGAGUUAACUCAGUAAAGCUGCAGCAGCCUUAUAUACGGAAUACCUAGAAAUAAAUUUUUAAAAUCAAUGUACCAAAAAUGAAGCGGUUUAUGCUUAACAAUAUGACCCAUGAUAAAUAUGUUCCUCAAAGGAGAUUCUGAAACUGCACUGAGCCUAUUUAUCCAAAACUGUCUUUGCCAAAUCAUAGAAUUUGAAUUUACUUUACAAUUAAGGACAUAAUUUGUAGCACUGCAGCUUUUGCCCAGCAAUAAUCUUAGAUUCAAGUCUCCUAAGAAGGAUGACAGAGGGAGUUACUCUGUCAGAGUGCCAAACCAAUACUGCAAAGUCUUCAGAAGUUUUAAUUUUAUGAUGAUGAGAUCAAUGGUAUCAGAUAAAAUGGUCUGAUCCCAUGAACACUGCUAAGACAAUAAUGCAGAGAUGAUCAAGCCCAGAUCUUGCAAUGAAUACAUGAUCACAAGAAGUGAUCAAACAAAUUGCAGAUGUCAUCAUUCCCUGUUGAGCACUGAGAAGUGUCUUGGAGAUAGAAGACUGCCAGAUUUCAAUGCCUGAGUUUACUUGUAAGAAAUUCUUUGCUUUUUCAUGCAGUUGGAGAUGGGGUUUUUUUGUUGUAUGUCUUCUUUUUGUCCAAACGAUCACUGACAUAGCGUUACUGCCAGCAACUACUGAGCUGGCAAGCAUUUCUGAAUACUCUAAUGGCAGUCAUUGCUGUUUCCAUCCCAGGCUAGGUCAGAAAAAAAAACAAUGACCUGGAGUCCUAAUUAAGUGAUUUAUUUUGCAUCUCAGGAUUGAUGGUUAUUUGUCAGAUUAGCUCAUAAACUAGCUCUAAACAUUGUCUUGUUUUUCUAACUGUACAAUAUAAAUGUUUAAUAUUUGUAUGAUAAAGGGGCAGCAAAUUAAAUUUUGUUAAGCCUUCUGUUCUUUUUCAUGUCUGAUUACAAGCCAACAGCACAUCAGUUGACCUUUACUACUUAACACUGAGUGCAGAGGCUAGUGUUACCUAUAUCUUUGAAAAGAUUCAGAAGGAAGAUUUAACUCUUUUAAUCAAGAAAGUAACAUAACCAGCUGAAUCCCAAAAGGAGGGUGUAUAGUAAUUUUCCUCAGGACAUGUAUUUUGUCUUAUACUUAAGGUGAGCACAGCUGAAAAAGGUGUCAGCUAUUGCAAUUUUGUUGCAGUUGUUUGCUUUUUUGAUGAUUAAAAAUAAAGCCUUCUAUGAUGUUGUCACCCACAAAGUGUGUUCCCUGUUUAGUGACAUGAGCUGUAAAAAGUUUUUAUGCUAGUAAUUGGCUAUAUUCCAGCUGAAAUUCAUUUUUGUAGUAAUUUCUUAUUUCAAUUUUAGGAGUAGAAAUACUCUGGUACUCCACUUUGAAAAGCUUAUAAAGGCUAACCACAGAUUGAUAAAAUGAAAAAAUACACAUCAGUGUUAGCAUUUCAGAAGCAUUCUUUAUCCUAUGAAGCCUUUCAUCCCAUUUGUUAUCAAACCAAGUCCAAAAGUCUGAGGAUAAAUAAUGUCUCUUUUUCUAGGAGUUUCAGUAGAUACAGAUUUCCUGAAUCAGAUAGUUUGUUGAGCUAUAUUUUUAAAAGUCUGCUAUCUUUUAUUCACAAAAUAUCAUCGGUUCUUAUAAUCCUUGAUUGAAAAAUUUAUCUUCUUAAUAUUGUUUAAUGUUUAUUAUGUUCUAAAAGAUCAGUGAGAAACUCCUCGAUGCCCAGUCGUAACACUGCUUUUGUAGCAAAAUCGUAACAUGUGCCACACCAGCCGUAUGUGUUUGAAUUAUGGGGACCUUCUUAUCAUCAUGUAUUUGUUAAGGUAAUAUGUGCUAACCUUAGUUUCGAAGAGUAAUACUAUUGAAUAUAUUCUGAAGACCUUUGUGAGUACUUUGAAGAGGCCAGGGUCAGCAGAAUCUGCUAUCCAGCAUAUGUUCCAAGCUUUCUUGACACUUUCUCUGUGUUUAUAUAUUAUUAAUAUUGCAUCUUUUAAUUCAUCAAAGGCUUUUUCAACUUUAGUGCCCUGGGACAUGAUCAUAUCCUACAGUUUUGGUAGCUAUGUGGAGGUAUUUUUUUAUCCCCCCCCCCCCCCAUUUACAGAUGCUAUUCAACAUGUGAAUAGGAACUGGAUAAGGAGAGGAAAGAAUGGGAGUGAUGAGAUCUAGGGUAUGGAGUUUCUGUGACUUUGGGAUGUGUUUCUACUUCUGCUAUCAAAACUGUAACUGUUCUUUUGUAGGGUUGUUUGAUUCUUGCCAGGGUAUCUCCUGUGAAAUAGAUAUCAUAUUUUUACCACUGACCUCUAGUAGUCAGGAUUAAGACUGAAUGUACUGCAGCUUCAUUAUAUGAUCAAUGCAUGGAUUGCUUAGUGUUUGGAAGUAUUGUAUAUGCCCAGCUAGAAGUUGCUCUAUAUAUCAUAUACAUCCAGAUUCUGAAAUAUACAUCCAAAGUCUGAAAUAUACAAAAAUAGAAGCAGUGAAUGAAGGUAUUGGCGGUGCCAGCAACCAAGCACAAAGAAUCUGUUUAGUGCCAGAGAAAAGAUAUUUAAUGAAGCAAUGAGAAGGACUGACCUCACACCCAUUGGUUAUGGACAGCUUCUGUUUAAUUAGCUUGUCCUCUGGCUGGGCUUUCUGUUAUGUACAAGAGUGUGGCAGGUUCUCAUACUCAAGCCUAUUCCCUGGCAUCUGUAAGGCUGGCAGGGUCGUGGCAGGACUCAGUGACAGAUCAAAGACACAAAAAAAGCAUAAGGUCCUUCCCCUUACAAUUUUUAAGGCACUGAGAUCAGCAUAGUGAGAGAUCAUGACUACAGUGAAAAUUUAAUGAUCUGAAAAAGUACGCAAGUAACUACAUGCGCGGUACUCUUACUAAAAGAAGCCAGUUGAAACUUUCAACUCUCAACAUCUUGCAGUAUCUAAUGGGUGUAGGAGUUUCUCUUCUGGUGUAGAUCAGCACAACAUUUACACCUAUAUGAUGUCUCCAGCAAGUCCAGAAACAGAUGCUGCUGAGGCAGUGCUAGAAUUGUUCUGUAACGAGAUACAGGAGUAUCUGCCCACUGUUGAAGCCGCUCCAGGAUAUCUAAUACGGGUUGUUAGCACAUUGUCUUUCUCAGUAUUCCCCUCGUUCCCAUUCUGGGCUCUGCAGGGGCUGAAGGUAAAUCAGGCUGUCAGUGUGCAAUCAUCCACCUCCAGUUUUAACAGAAGGAUUUAGACAGAGAUAUGAAUCUCCAUUUUGUCCAGCUAAAUAUGAUCCAGAUAGCGAUGCUGUAUUGGAGUUAACACCGCACAGCAGGCUCACCAUGAGUGGGAGUAAAGACAGAUGAAAGGUGACAGGAGAGUCCAGGACGCAAUAAAAAAAAGGUCAGCAAGAAAGGUUCAAGGAAGAGAUUGGACUGAGCAGCUUCAUUCUGCACUUAGGCCUAACUGAAAUUUCUUUUUACAGAUUUCUGGGUCAUUUACUCUUCUCUUUUGCUUUUUGUAUGUGUUGGCCUUCAUGGAUUAUGUAAAUCAUGAACAUUCUUCCUCUCCUGUAUAGCUUGUUUUUCAUCUGCAGACUUGAUAAAAGUUUGAAGCUUAGUGCUUAGAUAGUGACCUUCAACUCUGAAUGAUUUUGAAAUCUGGUGCCCUUUGCUGAGAGGCAGGUUGUAUCAACUGCUGUUAUACCUGGGCAAAGGUCAGGGAGUUCUACUGUUUCAGAAAAAUAAGACCAUUUAGAAAAUGAUAAACUCUUUCUCAGUUCACACUUAUUGAAAUAACCCAAACUCACAAGCUGCAGAAGAAAGUAGAACUCCACUAUGGUCAAGUAGAACUUCAGCUAAUUCUCUGGCUUCCUCCCCAUCAAAACAUAUACAUUAAAAUGUCAUUAAAAUUAGUUUCCUUCUUACUUUUUACCAGAGUCUGGAGUUAGAUUUCAUACAUCGUAUUGCAAAAAGGAAAAACCAGCAAAAAAUCCUGUAAAAACCACCAAACCAAAAAGCACAAAUAGAUUAAUUGGGUAUUCUGCACAUCAGUUUGUUCAUGUAACAAUAUGUUCCUUUUCAAAAGACUCGUCGUUCUUAGUUGAUCAGAAGUGUUCAUAAAACUCUUCCCAAAGCAAUUAAUUGCACUAAUAAUCUAUACUUGGACAGCAUUAUUAAAACACACUAAUUGCAAAACCCAUAGUGAGAGCUCACUCAUUAUAAGAGUAUGGGGUAGCAAAUUAAGCUGAAUGAAUUAAUCUUGGCACUCUUUGUUCCUCUGUGAACUUGUAAGUAAACAAAGUUCAAACUGAGUGGAGGCUCUGUCUGAUUUAAGCAAGUGUAUUAGCUAUUUGUAAGACAUCACAGGGAAAAAUAACAAGAAAUCAAAUUCAUGCUACUGAAGUGUGUGGAACCAAAUCUGACUGAGGUAUGGAUUUUUGUCUAGGUGAAAAAUUCCUUUUAUUCAUAGAAGGAAGUCAAUGACUAAAGAUAAAACUGGACUUCCCAAGAAAUGAAUAAUUUGCUAUUUUUCAGUAAACAGAAGGCUUCAAAGGAAAACAUGCGGAGUGCAAAAAAUUUCAACAUGUAGCCAUAGUCUAAUCUCACUUUCAUUAAUUUUUCUGGAAAUUAAUUCAGCUGGACACACCUCUGUUAAACUUGCACGAAAAGGACCUUGAUGAAGCCAAAAAGCAAGCUGCAGAACACAAACCAGCACCAUUCUUGGGAAAUAUUUUUGCCUGCACACAUGGAAAUGUUUUUCGCAUCAGAGAUCAAUGAGUGCAUCAAAAUCAGGAGCUGUGUAAUGCAGUUUUCCAGGGGAACAGGAACUUUGAGCUUCAAAACCAGAUUCACAUUCUCAGCCUCAAAGAUCAUGAAACAAAAGUGACUAGUUUGUCUUACUGGAAAUAAUUCUGGAUCAAGCCACAGAAGAAUGGAAAUCCCUGCUUGCUUAUUCUCACGCACCUACUAGGUAAGCAAAUCUCUGUUUAGUCAUUGCACUCCGCUGCAGGUGCACAGGGAUGUGUGGUGGAGCUGUUCACUUAAAUGGCUGUUUUACUGCUGCUUCUUCUCUGGGACCAAAGAACCACAGAAAAUACUGGGAAGACAGAUUGGAAGUCAGAAGCAUCCCAGACCUACUAACAGCAGCACAAUGAAAACUGGAGACCUUGAAUGAUAAUAAAACAACUGAGUUGGUAAAAACUCAGCUGAUGGAGCUCUCAUGUGGAACAUAUUGUGUCUAAAAUGUUACAGGUCAUUUCCUUUGCCUUUCUCUAUAAACAUGUUUUUCAAAUUGGUUUCAAGUUGGUCCAGCUGCUUCAAGCACAGUAUAUUGAAAGCAUAUUAAUAUGACAGAUAACUAGCAGCUGUUGUUGGAAAAUUGACAAAGCGAAGGGUAGAUGUUGCUUCAGAGGAUGAACUUGUGCUUUCAGGCAAAACGUCUUCCUCGAUGUUUUGCUUCUCUGUGAGUUUUUCUUUGCAAAGUCUGGGCCAGUGACACUAAGCGGUCACAUUCUUUCCAGAUAUAGAUCUAGCAAAUGUAUCCAUGCCUUAUAAGAAACAGAUAUGCUGAUGGACUCAUUGGUCAAGACACUGAUUGACACAGAAAAGGUGUUCUUAAUCUCUCUGCAAUUGCUCUCUCUGUUAAAGAAGAUAUUGUCAUCUGUUAACCCUGCCUCUGAUUUAUUCAUAUCCAUAGCAGUAUUUCUGCACUGAGGAUUUGGUGAUAGUGGAUGUAGCAAUACACAUGUUCCUGAUGAAAGCCUCUGUUCCAGAGUGUAAUCUACAAGGACUUUUGAUUUAUACCAUUUUUUCUUUUAUAAUUCACUCUGCCCUGAGGAACUGCAGUCAGGGAGAAGGCUAGGAGACUCAAAGGAUGCAGACAAACUAUGGAAGCAUAUACAAGCAACCUGACAAGCAAAAAGCAUUUAAAGAAAAAACAAUCCACAAUCUGCAUUGCAAAUGGACUUGCAUCAGGAGUUCUUAAGCUUGUUUCUGGGCUAGGCCACCUGGUUAGAGAAAGAUUGCCUGUGUAGUCUUUUUCUGCCCAUUCAGAAAUUGUGCUGACCUCCAUUCCUUUCAUAAUUUUCUAGCAUUACAGCAGCAAUUACUUACAAGGAAAAAGAGUUUAAUGUAUGUUGUACUUCUUUUAAUGCAGUUUAGCAUAUGGAAACUUGGAGGGAACAGUCUGCUUUCUAGGGACCACAUUUUGAGAAGUGCUGACUUAGGCCACAAUCCCAUGCAGUCACAAGGAUGCAACUGUACGAAGAUCUUUGCAGAUCAUUACGGGAAGCUAUAUAGUGUUACGAGUUGAUUUUUUUUAAGUUGCGUUAAUACUAUUUCAGGUAAUUAUUUGCUUUUUCCCCCAUUUUGUCCCAAAUUGCACAUUAAUAAAAUAGCUGUUUAAGGUUUAUGCCCUUCAGGAAGAAUGUAAUGAUGUUGCUAUGAAGUAGCCCAGUGCUGAGAAAAAAGAAAAAUUUGUUUGUUUAAAAAGAAAAAAUAAAGUUCCCUAAAUAAAAGAAGUGAA